AGACCCGAAACCCGGUGAUCUAGCCAUGGGCAGGUUGAAGGUUGGGUAACACUAACUGGAGGACCGAACCGACUAAUGUUGAAAAAUUAGCGGAUGACCUGUGGCUGGGGGUGAAAGGCCAAUCAAACCGGGAGAUAGCUGGUUCUCCCCGAAAGCUAUUUAGGUAGCGCCUCGUGAAUUCAUCUCCGGGGGUAGAGCACUGUUUCGGCUAGGGGGCCAUCCCGGCUUACCAACCCGAUGCAAACUGCGAAUACCGGAGAAUGUUAUCACGGGAGACACACGGCGGGUGCUAACGUCCGUCGUGAAGAGGGAAACAACCCAGACCGCCAGCUAAGGUCCCAAAGUCAUGGUUAAGUGGGAAACGAUGUGGGAAGGCCCAGACAGCCAGGAUGUUGGCUUAGAAGCAGCCAUCAUUUAAAGAAAGCGUAAUAGCUCACUGGUCGAGUCGGCCUGCGCGGAAGAUGUAACGGGGCUAAACCAUGCACCGAAGCUGCGGCAGCGACGCUGAUGCGUUGUUGGGUAGGGGAGCGUUCUGUAAGCCUGUGAAGGUGUGUCGUGAGGCAUGCUGGAGGUAUCAGAAGUGCGAAUGCUGACAUAAGUAACGAUAAAGCGGGUGAAAAGCCCGCUCGCCGGAAGACCAAGGGUUCCUGUCCAACGUUAAUCGGGGCAGGGUGAGUCGACCCCUAAGGCGAGGCCGAAAGGCGUAGUCGAUGGGAAACGGGUUAAUAUUCCCGUACUUGGUGUUACUGCGAAGGGGGGACGGAGAAGGCUAUGUUGGCCGGGCGACGGUUGUCCCGGUUUAAGCGUGUAGGUGUGUGUUCCAGGUAAAUCCGGUUCACUUUAACACUGAGGCGUGAUGACGAGGCACUACGGUGCUGAAGCAACAAAUGCCCUGCUUCCAGGAAAAGCCUCUAAGCAUCAGGUAACAUCAAAUCGUACCCCAAACCGACACAGGUGGUCAGGUAGAGAAUACCAAGGCGCUUGAGAGAACUCGGGUGAAGGAACUAGGCAAAAUGGUGCCGUAACUUCGGGAGAAGGCACGCUGACAUGUAGGUGAAGUGAUUUACUCAUGGAGCUGAAGUCAGUCGAAGAUACCAGCUGGCUGCAACUGUUUAUUAAAAACACAGCACUGUGCAAACACGAAAGUGGACGUAUACGGUGUGACGCCUGCCCGGUGCCGGAAGGUUAAUUGAUGGGGUCAGCGCAAGCGAAGCUCCUGAUCGAAGCCCCGGUAAACGGCGGCCGUAACUAUAACGGUCCUAAGGUAGCGAAAUUCCUUGUCGGGUAAGUUCCGACCUGCACGAAUGGCGUAAUGAUGGCCAGGCUGUCUCCACCCGAGACUCAGUGAAAUUGAACUCGCUGUGAAGAUGCAGUGUACCCGCGGCAAGACGGAAAGACCCCGUGAACCUUUACUAUAGCUUGACACUGAACAUUGAGCCUUGAUGUGUAGGAUAGGUGGGAGGCUUUGAAGUGUGG
This 1476-nucleotide ribosomal RNA is filed under the name Salmonella enterica. Its description in RNAcentral is "partial 23S ribosomal RNA". It matches the Rfam family "Bacterial large subunit ribosomal RNA", at positions 711 to 2167 of the family's 2925-position model. Lineage: Bacteria; Pseudomonadati; Pseudomonadota; Gammaproteobacteria; Enterobacterales; Enterobacteriaceae. The record is from RNAcentral.